This 24-nucleotide non-coding RNA is filed under the name Cricetulus griseus (Chinese hamster). Lineage: Eukaryota; Metazoa; Chordata; Mammalia; Rodentia; Cricetidae. The record is from RNAcentral.
ACUUAUGAAUAUUCUGACUUGGCA